This 404-nucleotide ribosomal RNA is filed under the name uncultured prokaryote. Its description in RNAcentral is "bacterial SSU rRNA". It matches the Rfam family "Bacterial small subunit ribosomal RNA", at positions 355 to 776 of the family's 1533-position model. RNAcentral also lists the same sequence under 1 other name. The record is from RNAcentral.
UGGGGAAUAUUGGGCAAUGGGGGCAACCCUGACCCAGCAACGCCGCGUGAAGGAAGAAGGCUUUCGGGUUGUAAACUUCUUUUAUCAGGGACGAUAAUGACGGUACCUGAUGAAUAAGCCACGGCUAACUACGUGCCAGCAGCCGCGGUAAUACGUAGGUGGCAAGCGUUGUCCGGAUUUACUGGGUGUAAAGGGCGCGUAGGCGGGUAUGCAAGUCAGAUGUGAAAUGCCGCAGCUUAACUGCGGAGCUGCAUUUGAAACUGUGUAUCUUGAGUAUCGGAGAGGCAGGCGGAAUUCCUAGUGUAGCGGUGAAAUGCGUAGAUAUUAGGAGGAACACCAGUGGCGAAGGCGGCCUGCUGGACGACAACUGACGCUGAGGCGCGAAAGCGUGGGGAGCAAACAGG